RNAcentral lists this ribosomal RNA (468 nucleotides) under uncultured bacterium. Its description in RNAcentral is "partial 16S ribosomal RNA". It matches the Rfam family "Bacterial small subunit ribosomal RNA", at positions 28 to 507 of the family's 1533-position model. The record is from RNAcentral.
GACGAACGCUGGCGGCGUGCUUAACACAUGCAAGUCGAACGGAAAGUCCCUGCUGUUGUGGGGUGCUCGAGUGACGAACGGGUGAGUAACACGUGAGUAGCCUUCACUUGCCGUAGGGAUAACUUCAAGCAACUGAGGUUAAUACCGGAUAGUAGCUCCUGCUUCAUGGUGGGGGGUGGAAAGUUUCGGCGGUUGUGGAUGGACUCGCGGCUAAUCAGCUUGUUGGUGGGGUGGUGGCUUACCAAGGCUUCGACGGGGAGCCGGCCUGAGAGGGUGAGCGGCCCCGUUGGGACUGGGAUACGGCACGGACUAGUAUGGGAGGCGGGGGUGGGGAUUAGUGUACUAUGGGCGGAAGCCAGAUGUAGCACCGCCGCGUGGGGGAUGAGGGGCUUGGGGUUGUGAAGUGAUUUCGUCUGUGCCGAAGCGUUAGUGACGGUACUGGGUAAAGAAGCACCGGCUAACUCCGUG